Molecule: non-coding RNA, 89 nt
Organism: Beauveria asiatica
Lineage: Eukaryota; Fungi; Ascomycota; Sordariomycetes; Hypocreales; Cordycipitaceae
Source: the annotation of a GenBank genome assembly
GGCCUUGGUGGCGGAGUGGUUAACCGUCGCAGGCAGCCUUCGUGGACUCUAUCCACGUAAGGUCGCUGGUUCGAAUCCAGCCAGGGCCG